GCCCAAUACCUAGCCCACAAUACUCGCAUGAUUUCCCCCCCCCCCCCCUUUUUUUUGUUAAAACAUUUUAUUUCUUUAGUACAGGCGAUCGAAAAACUUCUAAGCGCUUCAGAUAAAGUACCGCAAGGGAAAGGUGAAAUAAUAAUGAAAUUACUUUAAGCCCAAAACAGCAGAGAUACUCCCUCGUACUUUUGCAUCAUGGUCUAGCUAGUUAAACCAAGCAAAAUGUGAACUUUAGUUUGACAUCCCGAAACUAAGUGAGCUACUUCAAAACAGCCUCAAAGGGCCAACCCGUCUCUGUUGCAAAAGAGUGGGAAGAUUUUCAAGUAGAGGUGAUAAGCCUAUCGGACUUAGAAAUAGCUGGUUACUCAGGAAAAGAGUUUUAGCUCUGCCCUAAGUUUUCUUAUUACUUUUAACAAAUUCUUAAACUUAAGAGUUAUUCAAGUAAGGUUCAGCUUACUUGAAAUAGGACACAACCUCCAAUAUUGGGUAAAUAAGGAUAACCUAAACUAAGUGGGCCUAAAAGCAGCCACCUUAUGAAAAAGCGUUAAAGCUUAAUUUACUAUACACCCGUAAUCCCUAGAAUCUUUAUCAACCCCUCUCCCCUACUGAGUCAUUUUAUAAAUUAUAAAAGCUAUUAUGCUAGAACUAGUAACAAGAAACCGUUUUUCUCUUAAAUGUAAGCCAAAACCGUAACAAACCCUAUCGGUAUUUAACGUGAAUGAUCAGAAUAUAGCAACUCAACUAGAAAACCCUAUUACCCUAAACGUUAAUCUUACACCAGAACAUUACAAGAAAGAUAAAAGAAAAAGAAGA
This 816-nucleotide ribosomal RNA is filed under the name Sanguirana sanguinea (Calamianes frog). RNAcentral's name for it is "partial 16S ribosomal RNA". The stretch from base 203 to 647 matches the Rfam family "Bacterial large subunit ribosomal RNA", at positions 619 to 1301 of the family's 2925-position model. Lineage: Eukaryota; Metazoa; Chordata; Amphibia; Anura; Ranidae. The record is from RNAcentral.